CCUACGGGAGGCAGCAGUGGGGAAUAUUGGACAAUGGGCGCAAGCCUGAUCCAGCCAUGCCGCGUGAGUGAUGAAGGCCCUAGGGUUGUAAAGCUCUUUCGGCGGGGACGAUAAUGACGGUACCCGCAGAAGAAGCCCCGGCUAACUUCGUGCCAGCAGCCGCGGUAAUACGAAGGGGGCUAGCGUUGCUCGGAAUCACUGGGCGUAAAGGGCGCGUAGGCGGAUCUUUAAGUCAGGGGUGAAAGCCUGAGGCUCAACCUCAGAAUUGCCUUUGAUACUGAAGAUCUCGAGACCGGAAGAGGUAAGUGGAACUGCGAGUGUAGAGGUGAAAUUCGUAGAUAUUCGCAAGAACACCAGUGGCGAAGGCGGCUUACUGGUCCGGUUCUGACGCUGAGGCGCGAAAGCGUGGGGAGCAAACAGGAUUAGAUACCCUGGUAGUC
This 440-nucleotide ribosomal RNA is filed under the name uncultured bacterium. RNAcentral's name for it is "bacterial SSU rRNA". It matches the Rfam family "Bacterial small subunit ribosomal RNA", at positions 338 to 795 of the family's 1533-position model. The record is from RNAcentral.